RNAcentral lists this ribosomal RNA (254 nucleotides) under uncultured bacterium. Its description in RNAcentral is "partial 16S ribosomal RNA". It matches the Rfam family "Bacterial small subunit ribosomal RNA", at positions 524 to 776 of the family's 1533-position model. The record is from RNAcentral.
UACGUAGGGGGCAAGCGUUGUCCGGAAUCAUUGGGCGUAAAGCGCGUGUAGGCGGUUCGAUUAGUCUGCUGUGAAAACUCGGGGCUUAACCCCCGGGCCUGCAGUGGGUACGGGCAGACUAGAGUGCGGUAGGGGAGACUGGAAUUCCUGGUGUAGCGGUGAAAUGCGCAGAUAUCAGGAGGAACACCGGUGGCGAAGGCGGGUCUCUGGGCAACUACUGACGCUGAGGAGCGAAAGCGUGGGGAGCGAACAGG